GUUCUAAGAUUAUAGAUUAAACUCAACUAAAAUCUAAAACAAAACAAACCAACACCCGAAAAUCACGGGUUA
RNAcentral lists this ribosomal RNA (72 nucleotides) under Uta stansburiana. RNAcentral's name for it is "partial 16S ribosomal RNA". The record is from RNAcentral. Lineage: Eukaryota; Metazoa; Chordata; Lepidosauria; Squamata; Phrynosomatidae.